Molecule: ribosomal RNA, 406 nt
Filed under: uncultured bacterium
Lineage: Bacteria
Description: partial 16S ribosomal RNA
Rfam family: Bacterial small subunit ribosomal RNA
Source: RNAcentral
AUUGAACGCUGGCGGCAGGACUAACAAAUGCAAGUCGAACGAGUGGCGGAAGGGUGAGUCAUGUCUGGGAAACUGCCUGAUGGAGGGGGAUAACUACUGGAAACGGUCGCUAAUACCGCAUACCAUCGGAUGGGGCAAGAUGGGAUUAGCUAGUAGGUGGGGUAAAGGCUCACCUAGGCGACGAUCCCUAGCUGGUCUGAGAGGAUGACCAGCCACACUGGAACUGAGACACGGUCCAGACUCCUACGCGAGGCAGCAGUGGGGAAUAUUUCACAAUGGGCGCAAGCCUGAUGCAGCCAUGCCGCGUGUAUGAAGAAGGCCUUCGGGUUGUAAAGUACUUUCAGCGGGGAGGCGUUACCCGCAGAAGAAGCACCGGCUAACUCCGUGCCAGCCGCCGCGGUAAUUC